GGGCUUGUAGCUCAGCCGGUUAGAGCGCACGCCUGAUAAGCGUGAGGUCGGUGGUUCGAGUCCACCCAGGCCCACCA
This 77-nucleotide transfer RNA is filed under the name Sporotomaculum syntrophicum. RNAcentral's name for it is "tRNA-Ile". It matches the Rfam family "tRNA". From Rfam's summary of the family: Transfer RNA (tRNA) molecules are approximately 80 nucleotides in length. RNAcentral also lists the same sequence under 5 other names. Lineage: Bacteria; Bacillati; Bacillota; Clostridia; Eubacteriales; Desulfallaceae. The record is from RNAcentral.